RNAcentral lists this ribosomal RNA (548 nucleotides) under Onthophagus rangifer. RNAcentral's name for it is "partial 16S ribosomal RNA". It matches the Rfam family "Bacterial large subunit ribosomal RNA", at positions 1894 to 2647 of the family's 2925-position model. The record is from RNAcentral. Lineage: Eukaryota; Metazoa; Arthropoda; Insecta; Coleoptera; Scarabaeidae.
AGUCUGACUCCCCUAUGAUAUAAUUUAUAUUAAAUGGCCGCGAUAGUUUGAUCGUGCAAAGGUAGCAUAAUCAUUAGUUUUUUAAUUGGGAACUGGAAUGAAAGGUCGAACGAGAAAAAGGCUGUCUCAAUUUAAUUUUAAUUAGAAUUUUAUUUUUAAGUAAAAAAGCUUAAAUAAUUUUAAAAGACGAGAAGACCCUAUAGAGUUUUAUAUUUAUAAAUUUUGGAAAAAAUUUAAGAAUUUUAUUUUUUUUAUUGGGUAUAAGUAUUUGAUUGGGGCGAUUAAAAAAUUGAAUAAACUUUUUUUAAAUUUUUAACAUUGAUAUAUGAUUAAGUGAUCCAUGAAUUAUGAUUAAAAGAUUAAAUUACCUUAGGGAUAACAGCGUUAUUUUUUUUAAGAGUUCUUAUCGAAAAAAAAGUUUGCGACCUCGAUGUUGGAUUAAAAUUUACUUUUGGUGUAGAAGCUAAAAAGUUGGGUCUGUUCGACCCUUAAAAUUUUACAUGAUCUGAGUUUAAACCGGUGUAAGCCAGGUUGGUUUCUAUCUUUAA